This is a long non-coding RNA of Leptopilina boulardi, 2685 nucleotides long. RefSeq lists it as uncharacterized. The transcript is spliced from 4 exons. Lineage: Eukaryota; Metazoa; Arthropoda; Insecta; Hymenoptera; Figitidae. The record is from RefSeq and is a predicted model, not a curated record.
CUUGCACGACUUGUAGAUCUUCUCUGUCUCGCACCGCUUCCAAUAUUGCGUUGUGAACUCCAUGCGUGUGAGUACGAUUUCAUUGUGUUCGCGUUUAUCUGUAGGUGUGUAUAUGUCCCUGCAUGUGAAAAGUCUCGUGAGGUGCGUUUCCUCAUAUCAAAACUAAAGAUGUAAAUAAAAAUGCAUAAUCUAUGAUAUUUUUGGAUAAUGAUAGCGAAUUUUUUUUUUUUACGACACUGAUUACUGAUUAUAAUUAUAAAAAGAAAAAGCUUUUUCAGAAUAACUAUUGCAAUUAUAUUAAAAAGAUUUGUUUCCCGCCAGUUACACGAAAGUGGACGAGUCAACCGUAUUUACUUGUGAUUUUACAAAAUUGACAAAAUCAAAAAAACAAGUAUGAAUAUUCUUUCUUUUUCGCGAUAACUAUUUGUUUUCUAAACCGGGAUUCAAUGCUAUUAAUUUAGACAGAGAAAGUCUACAAGAUUCUAUUGAAAAAAAGUGGGAGAAAAUCAAUUAUUGUUAAAUUAAAAAUUAUUAAAAAAAAUUUUCUAAGCGACAUAGAUUCUCCCUUAAAAACAUCCAAGAUGGAACUGAGUGUGCGCACUGGGGAAGCUAGUUUUUAUACUUCGAGCUUUUAGUCUGCCGUGCGCUUAUUGGUGGGGCUACUUUCUGUGCAUUGUGAUUGGCCAGGCGCUCUUGCUGCCAACGUCUAUAAAUAUAGGCUGUUUUUUACAAGCACUUCAAUGAGCAGUUGACUCUUCCAGACGCAACAUCUACGCUGAUGGUUAAAAAAAUAUUUUUAGCUUUUUAUUUUUUGUUAAGACUGGACAACCACUUCCAUUUCCAUCAUCAUCACUUCCAAUUCACAAAAGCAUUAGGAUAUCAAGUAGAUCGAUUAUGUAUUGAAGGGAGAUCUCAUUGAAGGAACAUAAAUCAACAAAAAAGUAAUUUGUUGUCCGCAGUCGAAAAGAUAAUGUGGCUAUUUUCAUCAUCUCUAAUGAAAUUAAAAAAUUCAGUAAAAGAGGAAAUCGACUUUUUGCAGCGUUUUCAGUCAAUAAAAGUUGUCCAGACGAAAACAUAAUGUGGCUGUAUCAUAUAUAUAUAUAUAUAUAUAUAUAUAUAUAUAUCUAAUGGAAUCAAGGAAAAAGGAAAUCGACUUCUCUACCGCUUUCAGCGUUUUCAAUCAAUAUGGUUUUUGGAUACUCCGAGGAAUAUAUUUCCUGUAGAAUUGAAGCGUUCCAAAAUGUCGUCCAGAGCGGCCAAGCGAGAGUUUAUAAGGGGUGGGAGAGAGAGAGAGAUAGAAAAAUCAGGAGAGUCGAUGAGGGUUGCACACGUCGAAAACCAUCGUGCAAGCAUAGCGUGGUGGUGGGUGGUUGGAGAUUGGGGGGGUUUUCUGAAGGUUGAAAGCACCGGGUUGACCAUGGAAGGGGUGGGAGUGGAAAACGAUGAGGGUUGAGGUCUAGGUUCAGGGGCGGCAAUGCCAAGUGGGCGUAUACUUUCGGUUUCAGUUUUGCGCAUGUGCUUCUCAUCUUUUACUCUCUCUCUCUCUCUCUCUCUCUCUAGGCGCUUUUACCCAGAGCCCACUUUCAUGAAUUUUCCGCAGCUUUAUCCACCAUCGCACUCCCUAACGCAAUGUGAACCUUCAUGGGAUCGAAAAUUACAGGGCGUAGCUGAUGGUUCAAGCGUACCAGCCAACCAAACCCCUUUCCCUUUACACACUAUCAUCGGGCAUUGCCAACAAGGGUCUUGUAACAUUUACCUUGCUCUGCUACAUCGUUGCAUUUUUCCCAUAUAGAACAUUGCUAUAUAUAUGUAUGCGAUUUCCAUCCAGCAAUUUUCGCUCACAAAUUAUUUGAGUUUUUUCUUUCGUUAUACGAAUUUGAUAGGGAUUGGUUUUUUUUUUUUUUUUGUCAAAUUCCCCAACCGAAUUUAUUCAUCUUAUAUAAUAAUUCUUAUUAUUUGAAUUUAGUUUAAAUGAAUCGCUGGAAAAUUCCAAAAAUAUUUGCCAUUAAAAUUUCUAUUUGACAAUUAAGAAGUCUGAAUUUUCGAAUUUUCUUGUCACCGAAAUUUAAUUGAUUCAGAUUUUCAUUGAAUUAUUGUCAUUUAUCCGAAUUUUUGUUUAAUCAAAUUCUUAUUUAUUCAAAUUGUUAGUUAACAAAAUGUUUGUUUCAUCGAAUUCUUAUUUAUUCAAAUCGCCGCUGCUGAAACGAAUUUUUGUUCAAUCAAAUUUUUUAUUUACAUUCCAAAUUGUCAGUUGAUUGAAAUUUUGUUUAAUCGAAUUCUUCUGUUCUUUUUUCACUUGGAACAGCAAUAAGUUUCACUAAAACAGCGAAAAUUUUCUUUAUUCUAGAGAAACGUAUCGCUAUUCCAGAUAAAGAUUUUUUUUCCCCGUCUUAUUUAUCAAAAUUGCGUCAUUUUAAUUGAAUCUUUAAUUGACCGAACUGUUCUUUAUCCGAAUUUCUAUUUUCCAAAAUUCCAAUAAAAAAAUUAACAUUUUCAUUCAACAAUCUAUAUGAAAGUAAUAUCAUUUUGUCAAUUAAAGAAUUAAUUAAAUUUUUUUAUCAGACGUCUCUGAAAGCUUAAUGAAUCAAUUUGCAACGUCAUAAAAUGUUGAUUUGCCGCAUUUAAAAUAAUAUUAUACGAAAACAAAAUCGUUCUCGUUUAUAAAUUGAAAAAUUAUUGGAAUGU